This 1963-nucleotide long non-coding RNA is filed under the name Macaca fascicularis (crab-eating macaque). RNAcentral's name for it is "lncRNA (ENSMFAG00000047599.1)". Lineage: Eukaryota; Metazoa; Chordata; Mammalia; Primates; Cercopithecidae. The record is from RNAcentral.
AGACAAGGUGUUGAAGGGAAGGCACACAGGUGAGGAGCCCACAGAAGGUUAGGGACCCCAGGGAGGCUGGAGAACCACGCUUGGGAAGCACAGGGCAGGGCAGCUCCAGGUGGGAGAGGCACAGGACCCCAAUUGUUCUUCAGGCUUGAGCCAGUCUGCUCAAGAUUCCAAGCCCUGGCAGGAGAGGAGCUUGGCUCACAUGCUCACCUCUCCGCUGCAGGAGGCAACAGGUGGGAGACCCCUGAUGGGAAGCCUCUGACGUGGGGGAGAAGGGAUUAUCCAAAAUGGAAACUGAGGCACUGUCUCCAAAGAAGAGGUGCCCCACAUCAACCACCACUCACUGCAGCCUCUCCUUGGCUUCCACAGCCCUAGUCUUCCCUUUGCUCCACCCACCUGCUUGCCCCAUGGACUUCCUUGAUCUUUCCAAAAAGUCGAUUUUGUUGUUUCUUUGCUUAGAAUCCUUUCUCAGCUUCCCAUGGCUUCCCAUGUAGCCCAAAAUAUGCACGAUGUCACUUGUUGUCCAUCCUUCCCAUCCACACUAUUUUUUUUUUUUUUUUUUUUUUUGACACAGAGUCUCUAUUGCCCAGGCUGGAGUGCACUGGCUCCAUGUCAGCUAUUACCUCCGCCUCCCGGGUUCAAGCAAUUCUCCUGCCUCAGCCUCCCGAGUAGCUGGGACUACAGGCACCCACCACCACACUCGGCUGAUUUUUUGUAUUUUUAGUAGAGGCAGAGUUUCACCGUGUUGGCCAGGCUGGUCUUGAACUCCUGAUCUCAGGUGAUCCACCCGCCUCAGCCUGCCAAAGUGCUGGGAUUACAUGCUUGAGCCACUGCGCCCAGCCCCCAUCCACACCUUUGUUCCACUUCCCAAGCUCCUUGCCAUUUAUUUUGAGUUCCUUCCUGCCUCAAUGACCAACCGGGCAGCCUUUAGGGGUGGAGUAGCCAGAUGGUUUCCUGAGGCUCAAAUUCCAUAGGGCACAUUUAAAAAACCCUCUGGAAAUGUAAAGAGAUGGCAAAAAUUCUGUUACUAGAAUUCCACUCAAGAGCAGUACUAUUUUUGACUAGAAAAGUACUUUACGCCACUCCCUCCCCACCUAAAGGACAAACAGGAAGGCCUCGAGGCUGCCUUCUGAAGACAGUGGGCUUGGCUCCUGCAAGCUGCCGAGGUCCUGCCAUGAGGCCUGAGCAUUCGAGGGCACUUGAAACAGGAAAGGGGGCUGAGGGUCUCCUUCUUCACAUGUCCAUUACGCAUAACUUGGUUUCUCCUUCAGAUAAAUUAUUUUUAUCAUGGGCAACAUAGCGAGAUCUCAUCUCUUCUGAAAAUAAAAAUAAAAAAUUAGCCAGGUGUAGUGAUACGUGUCUAGAGUCCCAGCUACUCAGGAGGCUGAGGCAGGAGAAUCACUUGAGCCCAGGAGUUAAGGCUGCAGUGAGCUAUGAUCACACCACCGCACUCCAGCCUGGGUCAAAGAGGUAAGAAUAAAGUCACAGCCCUUGUAGCACUGUGGCAAAUGCCUUCCCUCCACCCAUUUCCCUUAGUAUUUUCUUCCCAAACUCAGUUGUCCCCUUUGGGCAGCUCCCGACAGCCGCUGGUCCAGCAGUGCCUCUGUGCAACCCCUCACACCUCUGACCCCGCUUCUUCAGUCGUCUCCUGUUUGUCUGCUUCCUCUGGGAACCUGAAGACUCUGGAUGGCAGGAACGAGCUGUUAUUUGACUAUUUUCACCCCUGGCCAUGUGCUCAGCACAUCAGCACAUGCUUGAUGGAGGUGCAGGUGCAUAUUUGCUUUCUGUUGUUGGAAAAAACUUGGACCUCAUUUUGAGAAUAUCAGUUUUCCCCAGAGAAAAACCUUAAUGACUUGUUUGGGGUUACUUUUGAUUCCAAAGGAGAUUUCAGAGACCUUUGUGUAAAAAAUAAGGUAGGACGGAUCUUCCUACAAAGCUCAACCCAACCUGAAAAAAAAAAAAAAAA